CUAAGGAAAAAGUUAUCAUCUUCAGCUUUGAAAGACUUAAAAAAGUUUUUCAUUUUUUAAGAUUAGGGCCUAUAGCUCAGUUGGUUAGAGCACACACCUGAUAAGCGUGAGGUCGGUGGUUCAAGUCCAUUUAGGCCCACCAAAAUAGGUCGAAUCUUAAAAAAAGCUCUUUGAAAAGUAGAUAAACAAUAAAGGUUAAAAAAUC
RNAcentral lists this unclassified non-coding RNA (205 nucleotides) under Candidatus Phytoplasma fragariae. Its description in RNAcentral is "16S-23S ribosomal RNA intergenic spacer". The stretch from base 66 to 139 matches the Rfam family "tRNA". The record is from RNAcentral. Lineage: Bacteria; Bacillati; Mycoplasmatota; Mollicutes; Acholeplasmatales; Acholeplasmataceae.